This 73-nucleotide transfer RNA is filed under the name Marmota marmota marmota (Alpine marmot). It matches the Rfam family "tRNA". From Rfam's summary of the family: Transfer RNA (tRNA) molecules are approximately 80 nucleotides in length. Their secondary structure includes four short double-helical elements and three loops (D, anti-codon, and T loops). Lineage: Eukaryota; Metazoa; Chordata; Mammalia; Rodentia; Sciuridae. RNAcentral also lists the same sequence under 1 other name. The record is from Rfam by way of RNAcentral.
GGGGAUAUGGCUCAGUUGGUAGAGUGCUUGCCUUGCAUGCACAAGGUCCUGGGUUCAAUCCCCAGCACCACCA